UACGUAGGUGGCAAGCGUUGUCCGGAAUUACUGGGUGUAAAGGGAGCGUAGGCGGGAAUGCAAGUUGAAUGUUUAAACUAUCGGCUCAACCGGUAGUCGCGUUCAAAACUGUAUUUCUUGAGUGAAGUAGAGGCAAGCGGAAUUCCUAGUGUAGCGGUGAAAUGCGUAGAUAUUAGGAGGAACACCAGUGGCGAAGGCGGCUUGCUGGGCUUUUACUGACGCUGAGGCUCGAAAGCGUGGGUAGCAAACAGGAUUAGAUACCC
This 263-nucleotide ribosomal RNA is filed under the name uncultured bacterium. RNAcentral describes it as "partial 16S ribosomal RNA". It matches the Rfam family "Bacterial small subunit ribosomal RNA", at positions 524 to 787 of the family's 1533-position model. The record is from RNAcentral.